RNAcentral lists this ribosomal RNA (253 nucleotides) under uncultured bacterium. RNAcentral's name for it is "partial 16S ribosomal RNA". It matches the Rfam family "Bacterial small subunit ribosomal RNA", at positions 524 to 776 of the family's 1533-position model. The record is from RNAcentral.
UACGGGGGGGGCAAGCGUUGUUCGGAAUUACUGGGCGUAAAGGGUUUGUAGGUGGCUCGCUAAGUCAGACGUGAAAUCCCUCAGCUUAACUGGGGAACUGCGUCUGAAACUGAUGAGCUUGAGUGCAGGAGAGGAACGCGGAAUUCCAGGUGUAGCGGUGAAAUGCGUAGAUAUCUGGAGGAACACCGGUGGCGAAGGCGGCGUUCUGGACUGCAACUGACACUGUAAAACGAAAGCCAGGGGAGCAAACGGG